UGUCUCCUGGAGUGUUCGCCAGUCUAUUCAUGUCCCUGGCCGAUGCUUUUUACCUAGGAGGUUGACGUGUCACUAUUGUGCAAGCUCGGCAUGUAUCGAGAAGCCUACGGUGACAAAGAUACUUCCGCCCUGAACUUUUCGGUUCUAGGGCGAACAAUAGACAACGGCACUUCGGGAGGCGC
RNAcentral lists this non-coding RNA (182 nucleotides) under Alteromonas gilva. RNAcentral's name for it is "6S RNA". It matches the Rfam family "6S / SsrS RNA". From Rfam's summary of the family: E. coli 6S RNA was the first non coding RNA to be sequenced, but its function was unknown until recently. Lineage: Bacteria; Pseudomonadati; Pseudomonadota; Gammaproteobacteria; Alteromonadales; Alteromonadaceae. The record is from RNAcentral.